GGUUCUAGAACUUUCUAAGCCCUUCAGCUCCAACGAGCAGCUCCCAGGAGAGAUGCUGGUCCAGACCCUGCCCCAGCUGGAGGUUCAAACGGGAUCAGACAAACCUGAGUUCCAGACCCAAGCCGUGAGCCUCAGUUUCCCCCUCUGUGGGAGGGGGGGGGAGGGUGGCAGCCAUCAUGCCCCAAGCACCUGCUUCAAGCAGGGGUUCUAAAGAGGCAGGUGUUACAGAUUCUCUGCACGUGGUCUGCUGUCGAGUUCAUUGUCAUGAGCCACACCUGGAAGGUGUCAACCUUUUCCAGACUCUGCCUAGGUUUUCGAGACUUCUUUUUUUGAGUCUUUCAUAGUCACUGCAUCUAUGUCUAAUCAGAUAGCAGAAUAUUUUGUUACUUUUAAGAGAGAGAGAGAGAGAGAGCAGAGAGAGGCAGAGAGAGAGGGAGACAGAGGAUCCGAAGAGGGCUCCACAUUGAAAGUGGGGGGCCCGAGGAGGGGCUCGAACUUACGAGCUGCAAAAUCAUGACCUGAGUUGAAGUCGGUCGCCCAACCGACUGAGCCACACAGGCGCCCCCUCGGUUAGCAGAACACCAAGGAAAUAGGUGCCUGACCUUUGAACAAGUCCUUCCAGGACACAACGUUUUCACAGACACAGCAGCCCUCUUUCCCGCGGCGCUUGUAGCUGACAGGUUUGUGCAGCGUCUCGGCAAUUGCGCGUGAAUCGGGACAGGACGACCUCACUGAGCGGGUUUGGGGGCGAGCCGUCAGCGCAGACGGAGGGGCGAGGGCCUGGCCGCCUAGAGAGGAUUACGGGGGAGUCGGGCACAGUUUCUGGCGUUACCUGCAAUCCUCGGUGUCCCUGGACAUAUGGAUACAUCCCUCCAACCUGCCUCUGUUGUCACAUGGCCUCUCUCUCUCUCUGUGUCGUUCCUCUUCUUAUAAAGACGCCAGUCAUUGGCUGUAGGGCCCCCCCAAUCCAGUGUGACCCCAUUUCAAGCUAACCAAUUACAUCUGAAAAGACCUUAUUUCCAAAUGAGGUGACUUGG
Lynx canadensis (Canada lynx) is the source of this 1037-nucleotide long non-coding RNA. RefSeq lists it as uncharacterized. NCBI's taxonomy places the organism in Eukaryota, Metazoa, Chordata, Mammalia, Carnivora, Felidae. The transcript is spliced from 2 exons. The record is from RefSeq and is a predicted model, not a curated record.